CCUACGGGAGGCAGCAGUAAGGAAUAUUGGUCAAUGGACGCAAGUCUGAACCAGCCAUGCCGCGUGGAGGAUGAAGGUCCUCUGGAUUGUAAACUUCUUUUAUUUGGGACGAAAAAGGGCCUUUCCAGGUCAACUGACGGUACCAGAUGAAUAAGCACCGGCUAACUCCGUGCCAGCAGCCGCGGUAAUACGGAGGGUGCAAGCGUUAUCCGGAUUUACUGGGUUUAAAGGGUGCGCAGGCGGAUAUGUAAGUCAGUGGUGAAAUCUUUGGGCUUAACCCGAAAAUUGCCAUUGAUACUAUAUAUCUUGAAUGCUGUGGAGGUAAGCGGAAUAUGUCAUGUAGCGGUGAAAUGCUUAGAUAUGACAUAGAACACCUAUUGCGAAGGCAGCUUACUACGCAGAUAUUGACGCUCAUGCACGAAAGCGUGGGGAUCAAACAGGAUUAGAUACCCUGGUAGUCCACGCCCUAAACGAUGAUUACUCGACAUACGCGAUACACAGUGUGUGUCUGAGCGAAAGCAUUAAGUAAUCCACCUGGGAAGUACGACCGCAAGGUUGAAACUCAAAUGAAUUGACGG
This 578-nucleotide ribosomal RNA is filed under the name uncultured bacterium. RNAcentral describes it as "bacterial SSU rRNA". It matches the Rfam family "Bacterial small subunit ribosomal RNA", at positions 338 to 916 of the family's 1533-position model. The record is from RNAcentral.